Molecule: unclassified non-coding RNA, 470 nt
Filed under: uncultured Flavobacteriaceae bacterium
Lineage: Bacteria; Pseudomonadati; Bacteroidota; Flavobacteriia; Flavobacteriales; Flavobacteriaceae
Description: 16S-23S ribosomal RNA intergenic spacer
Rfam family: tRNA (bases 80-153)
Source: RNAcentral
AGAGAAAGUAUGACGACUGAAUUUUUGGGCUAUUUAGGUUUGUGUUUUGCUAACUGCUGUCAUCUUAAUUAUCAUGAAGAGUCUCGUAGCUCAGCUGGUUAGAGCGCUACACUGAUAAUGUAGAGGUCGGCAGUUCGAGUCUGCCCGAGACUACUAUUUUAUGAUAUAGGGAAUUUAGGGUUGUUAAUUCAUUCAUACUGAAUUCUUUCAGAAUGGGGAAUUAGCUCAGCUGGCUAGAGCACUUGAUUUGCAUUCAAGAGGUCGUGGGUUCGACUCCCACAUUCUCCACAAGUUUUAUAACUAAACGUUCAUUGACAUAUUGAAAAAUUUAAUAUCACAAACAACAGUUAUCCAAUUAGUGUUUGUGAUAAUUAGAUACACAUAAAGUAUUAAAUAUAUAUUUAUAUAUAUGGAUAUACGAGCAAAUUAAAAUAAUAAGUAAAUACAAUUUCAAAGAAAAGUAAAGUUAC